AAACGUUCACCUUGUUGCUUAACAAGGCGCAGCACGACUCAGGCCAUGGAACGGGGGCUUGGG
The submitters of this non-coding RNA (63 nucleotides) gave its source as unclassified sequences. The record is from Rfam.